UUUUAUUCUCAGCCUGACAUGACCUUAUGCAAACUCUGAGGUAUCCCAUCUGUAAAAUAAGAUAAUGAUACUUGCCUGCCUCCUAAGGCAAGGGUGUGAGGCCUUGCUCAAUAACAUGGAUAGAAGUACACACCAAAAGAAAGGAAUGCUGCAGUUCCUCCUCCUCACUAUGCACAGAUUUAGAGACCGAAGGAAAAAUGACCACACUGAAAAGCAGCAUUUGAGAUAAAAUCCUCUUUUAUAUGAAACUACUUCAUAAAAUGGCUGCCACAAACUGAAUGUUCUGGUCUACAAAGUCUGCAGCAAUCAGUUCUACAAAAGAAGCCGUUUGCCAAGAGGAUAACAGAUUACAUAUCUAAAACUUCAAAGCUCUCAAUGGAAAUCAGGUCUAAAUCCAUUCACACAGAACUAAUAUUUCCAAAUUGUAUUUUAUAACGAAGUGCAAGUUGGAAGCAAAUACAACUGUUUGUACUGCUGCACCAUCUCUUACAUAAUAAAAAUACAAGCGAUGUCCAUUUCAUUAUGGUUAGGGAUGCGAGAAGGUAACUGCAAUAAGGAAAUUCCAAGGGAUUUAAGCAGAAGUUGGAUCUAUAUGGCAUGUCCUUAUGUUAUUUAUACUAUUGUUGUACAGGAUUGCCAAUUCCUAGAUUUUAUCUUAUUUGUAUUUCAGAUACCAGUAUUUGUGAAGUUAACAUUAGGUUACAUUAAAAAUUUAUUGUAUGUAACCUAAUGUACAUGUAACUGCUCCUCUUCACAUCAUCUGCUUUUUUUAAAAAUAGCAUUAGAAAAAAGGCAGAACAUGCAAGAAAAAUAUUUUUAAAGAAACAUUACUGCCAACAUUCUGUUCCAUUAUUUAAAAUUUUGAGUUACUGACAUCCCAGCUUUCAUCCUGGGUGAAGCAACUUAAAUCAAGUGAGCGAGCUUAACAGUUAAGUUGGAAAGCUUGACAAUUAGGUUACGGUCUGUACCCUGAAAUACAAGAAGAACAGGUGUUGCUAGUCAUCAAAAAGGUCCCAAGAAAGGCCUACAUAUGUGCAGACUCUACUAAACUUUUUGUAAGAGUUAAACUAACAUCAUUUCCCCUCAGGAAUAAUGUCUCUUUCAAGUCAACUCUCAGAGGAGUUUGUGUUUGUUCAGAUAAGGUUUUUUUCCUUUCCUAAGAAUGGAAAUGCAGGAAUCACAAUUCCAGUCAUAUUCCCCAGACAUUAUACUAAUGCACUCUCUACCAAACACACAGUUUCCCCAUCUGUAUUUUUGCUUCUCAUAACCUCAGAUCAGUGGCACCAGUCACUCAUAUCCACCUUACCCAUCCAUUGUCAUUACUGUAGCCUCCAAUCAAGGCAUGAUUGUGUAAUAUGACUUCACACAUUACCUAAUGCUUAUAAGCUAGUCCAACAAAACUGUGAGAGGGGAGUCAAGUCAGAAGCAUGAUCCGUGCAGACAUCAAUGUGUUUCAAAGUUACAGUAAAGCAAGCUGAAGGCUUUACUUCCUAGAAAUCAUUUCCCCCAUAUCUUAAAGUCAACCUUAGGAAGUAGAGUAUUUUAGACAUUCAGCUGACUCACAGCUCAGAAAAUAAGGCUCAUUUAUAAAUGUGCUCUCUUCAAUUGCUCCCACACUACAGGUGAGUAGAUAUUACCAGCAGUAAGUUUAUUCUGGUGAAGUCUGAGGAAAGGGGGAUAAAAAUGGUAGGCAUUUUACUUUUUUAUUUAAUACAACGGUGAAACACAUGGCUCUAUCAAUGAUGCUAGACACAUGAUCUUUGCUACAAAAGAGAAUAAUUUACACGUGAUGCUAUGCAAAUAUUAUACCCUUGGGACAGAAAAAAAAAUCAAAGGUCGUGUGCCUGUGUGAUCCCACUUAUUCACCCAUUAUACCCAGUUAUUAGACUUCACUUUAUUUGGCAUAAUGUUCCUACACUCCUAAAAUGUAUUUAUUCUGAUUGCUGUUGCUCUUACUACUAAUAACCCACAUUUUUCAGUGACAUUUAGAUUAAAAAGCAAACCAACUUUUUCUUGACAAAGUCAGGAUUUUUGCAGCUUCACUUACAAACAUAAUUACAACCUUACAAUUAAGGUUAAGAAUGUGUCAAACAUAUUUUAAAUAAUGCAAGUCCUUGUAUAUACUGUGUGUAUGUGAUUUGGUAUUUUUAAACCAAUUUAACAAUACCAUUUUAAAUCAAAUAAACUUACCUAUUUCCAUUUUAACACCUUUUAUUACAUUGCAAUUUAAAAACAUUCCUGAUUGGCAUGCAAAAUUAAGUUUUAAAAGGUUAUAACAAAAUAACGUGGUCAUAACUGUGUUUCUACCACAAUAUUUCAAGUUCAUAUAAUGUUCAAGAAUAGGUUAAAUAUUACUGGACAAAGAAUCUUAUUCAUACAUUUGAUAAAAACUUACAUAGUGCACAUAUUGAUAGCAAAGAGUUUUAGAAUUCAUUUUAUUGAUAAUUACUUAAAAGAUACUCAAGGAAAAAUGAAUAGGCCACGAUUUAAUAAAAGUUAACAAAAACAGGCAAAAUGCAGUGUAUUGACAAACCACAGAAGAGCAAUGCAAAGUUUUUAGACUUCAAUGUUAGAUUAAGCCAACAUAUUUUGUUUAAAAUAUAAUGUUAAAAGCUAAAUGAAGAACAAAACAAAGGACUUAAUGUUGUUGUAAGUAUCAAAUAUUAGCUGUAUUUUCAGUAUUUUGUACUGUUCCACAAAUCAAAGUUAAAUUUAUAAAAUAUCUGAAAAGAA
This is a long non-coding RNA of Chelonia mydas (Green sea turtle), 2733 nucleotides long. RefSeq lists it as uncharacterized. The record is from RefSeq and is a predicted model, not a curated record. Lineage: Eukaryota; Metazoa; Chordata; Testudines; Cheloniidae. The transcript has 3 exons.